This 463-nucleotide long non-coding RNA is filed under the name Columba livia (rock pigeon). RNAcentral's name for it is "partial uncharacterized LOC102092556". The record is from RNAcentral. Lineage: Eukaryota; Metazoa; Chordata; Aves; Columbiformes; Columbidae.
AGAUCCUGCCUUCUGAGAAGAGCUCACCAGAGUGACUGGCGAGGCCGGUGUGGAGGCAGAACCCAGGCUGCUGCAGAGCACGGCUCCUGCAGCAUCCCCGCCAGGCGACCGCGGCUGCGCGGCUGACCAGACCGCUCACGUCGGCGAGGGAAAGUGUUGCACCCAUUGGUCGUGUCAUUCAGCUGUUUGUUCUGAAUUCACGCUCUGCUUCCCCGCUGCAGAGGAGCACAAGGCCAGCUGUUCCUUCAGCUAUGAUUUUAGCUUUUGCUUUCGGAUGUACCAAAACCAGAGCCUUCCCGCUCAGCACUCAGCAGCAUUCUGCCCGUUCAAGGCCAUUUGUGCAGUUUCUGAAGAGGAUGCUGAUACUGCUUGUGCCCAGGGUCCAGUCCAGGAUCCUUUUCAUCCAGCAUCCCCAGGAGUUUGAAUAAGCUCACCUGGAAGCCAGCUUCACACACUGUUUGCA